CCUACGGGUGGCAGCAGUGGGGAAUAUUGCACAAUGGGGGAAACCCUGAUGCAGCGACGCCGCGUGAGCGAUGAAGUAUCUCGGUAUGUAAAGCUCUAUCAGCAGGGAAGAAAAUGACGGUACCUGACUAAGAAGCCCCGGCUCACUACGGGCCAGCAGCCGCGGGAAUACGUAGGGGGCAAGCGUUAUCCGGAUUUACUGGGGGGAAAGGGAGCGUAGGCGGUCCUGCAAGCCAGAUGUGAAAGCCCGGGGCUCAACCCCGGGACUGCAUUUGGAACUGGAAGGCUAGAGUGUCGGAGAGGCAGGCGGAAUUCGUGGUGUAGCGGUGAAAUGCGUAGAUAUUAGGAAGAACACCAGUGGCGAAGGCGGCCUGCUGGACGAUGACUGACGUUGAGGCACGAAAGCGUGGGGAGCAAACAGGAUUAGAUACCCGAGAAGUC
RNAcentral lists this ribosomal RNA (440 nucleotides) under uncultured bacterium. Its description in RNAcentral is "partial 16S ribosomal RNA". It matches the Rfam family "Bacterial small subunit ribosomal RNA", at positions 338 to 795 of the family's 1533-position model. The record is from RNAcentral.